This 258-nucleotide ribosomal RNA is filed under the name uncultured bacterium. Its description in RNAcentral is "partial 16S ribosomal RNA". It matches the Rfam family "Bacterial small subunit ribosomal RNA", at positions 333 to 606 of the family's 1533-position model. The record is from RNAcentral.
AUAGCCUACGGGGCGCAGCAGUGGGGAAUAUUGGGCAAUGGAGUAAACUCUUACCCAGCAAUGCCGCGUGAAUGAAGAAGGUCUUCGGAUUGUAAAGUUCUUUAAUUGGGGACGAAAAAAAUGACGGUACCCAAGGAAUAAGCCCCGGCUAACUACGUGCCAGCAGCCGCGGUAAUACGUAGGGGGCAAGCGUUGUUCGGAAUGACUGGGCGUAAAGGGUGCGUAGGCGGGGGAGCAAGUUAGAAGUGAAAUACCUAG